ACCGUUUUUAAAGAAGCGGAAAUAAAAAAUAAUUUUUUAUGAUAACAUAAAUUGAACAGGCUAAUUUGCGCAAGAGAGUACAAAUUGAGUGCGCGGUUUGGCACCUCGAUGUCGGCUUAACUCAUCCACAUGAAUGCAAAAAUCAUGAAGGGUUCGACUGUUCGUCGAUUAAAGAGUUACAUGAGCUGGGUUUAAUACGUCGUGAGACAGUAUGGUUUCUAUCUUCUAGAAGGAAUUAAAGUAAAAUAAAUAUAGCCCCUUCGUACGAAAGGAGUUGGGUAUGUUGAUCUAUGGUUUACCUGUUGUCUAUAUUAUUUAUAAAUUAUAUUUUAAUAACUUACUUUUACUUAAGUAAGUUGCUUAUAGGCAUGGCAGGAAUGCUACAUCAAUUAGAGAUAAGUGCUGAAAGCAUUUAAGCGCGAAGCUUACUUUAUAAUACUUAAAAACGUAGUAGAACACUACGAGUAUUUAAUAAUUAUAUAUUUAUAAUUAUUAAUUCAUAGGCUUUAGUUGUAUUAACUUUGAUGUUUUAAGAUAUAAAGUACUAAUUUAACAU
This 556-nucleotide non-coding RNA is filed under the name Talaromyces islandicus. Its description in RNAcentral is "Penicillium islandicum Bacterial large subunit ribosomal RNA". It matches the Rfam family "Bacterial large subunit ribosomal RNA", at positions 2411 to 2925 of the family's 2925-position model. The record is from Rfam by way of RNAcentral. Lineage: Eukaryota; Fungi; Ascomycota; Eurotiomycetes; Eurotiales; Trichocomaceae.